CAUAACAACCCUAUUUUGGAAUUAUUUCAACCCCUUUGUGGCACGUGAACGGGUCGCGUAGUCGUGACCGAAUUUUACGGAAAUUACUUUUUUUAUGGUAAUAAACGAAAUGAAAGAGUAGGAUAUUAAAAAUUUGAAAGUUUAAAAGUAAGGACCGUCCUAAUAUGUAUCUUGUCCGUUUGCGAGAUUUCCCAUCCGUUUGUUCAUAUUGUUUUCCGCGAUUUGUUUUCUACGUGUGUAACACUGUUAUAAUAUCGUUCGUCCGACGGUGCAUUGGAAAGUUUAUUCAUUUGACACCCUCGAGUGAAGAUUUUCCAUAACGAUAGUAAUAAUAUAAAAAAACCCUACGGGAAUACGUUAUCAAAGUCGGUUAUCAAAUUACUAUAUUGCUGCUAACGAGACAGAAACUCAACCGUUUGAUAUUAAGAAUAAUAUACUAUUAUCGUACCGUCUUCGUCGAAGGUACAUGGUAUUACACCGUGCAUAAACUGAUAUAAACCCAAUAUAAUAACCGUCGUGAAUAACUGCCGGAGAAGUCAAAAUAAAUAUUAAAUUGCGGUCUAUGUGCUCUAAAGUCUAAAUCCUUUAAACUCGAUAAAUAUCAA
This is a non-coding RNA of Cinara cedri, 605 nucleotides long. The record is from the annotation of a GenBank genome assembly. Lineage: Eukaryota; Metazoa; Arthropoda; Insecta; Hemiptera; Aphididae.